Small nuclear RNA from Sarcophilus harrisii (Tasmanian devil), 94 nucleotides. The record is from Ensembl. NCBI's taxonomy places the organism in Eukaryota, Metazoa, Chordata, Mammalia, Dasyuromorphia, Dasyuridae.
GUGUUUGCUUCAGCAGCACAUAUACUAAAAUUGGAAUGAUACAGAGAAGAUUAGCAUGGCCUCUGUGCAAAUUCAUGAAGAAUACCAUAUUUAA